RNAcentral lists this ribosomal RNA (490 nucleotides) under uncultured bacterium. RNAcentral describes it as "bacterial SSU rRNA". It matches the Rfam family "Bacterial small subunit ribosomal RNA", at positions 29 to 518 of the family's 1533-position model. The record is from RNAcentral.
AACUAACGCUGGCGGCGUGCCUAACACAUGCAAGUCGUACGAGAAAGCCGGCUUCGGCUGGUGAGUAAAGUGGCGCACGGGUGAGUAACGCGUGGAUAAUCUGCCCUUAAGUGUGGAAUAACGUACCGAAAGGUGCGCUAAUACCGCAUAAUGCCUGGCAACACAAGUUGUCCGGCCAAAGAAGGCCUCUGUUUACAAGCUUUCGCUUCAGGAUGAGUCCGCGUACCAUUAGCUUGUUGGUGGGGUAAUGGCCUACCAAGGCUGCGAUGGUUAGCUGGUCUGAGAGGAUGAUCAGCCACACUGGAACUGAGACACGGUCCAGACUCCUACGGGAGCAGCAGUGAGGAAUAUUGCGCAAUGGGGGCAACCCUGACGCAGCAACGCCGCGUGAGUGAGGAAGGUUUCGGACUGUAAAGCUCUGUCAUCGGGGACGAAGAAAGUGACGGUACCCGAGGACGGAAGCCCUGCUAACUACGUGCCAGCAGCCGAC